UCUAUCUAUCAUCUACCUCUUAAUUCUCUCAGUUUUUCUGCAUAACAAGCUAGCUAGCCUGUUUCUUUAUCCCCAUCCUAAGGCUCCCAAACAUUAUCCUUAGAUAUGAAUUCUAAAAGCAUAAACCCCCAGAAGGUUUUCAGGCCACCACCACCAACUCAGACUCAGGCGGCGGCUUCCAAAACUGCCAAUGGCACUAAAAUGCCAACCACGCAGAAGAGUUUUUCCAAAGCAAAUACGCCCCAUCCUCCUCACUCUCAGACUCCUUUAAGAACUCCCACCCAAAUCCCCACCACCGCCAAGGUCUUUACCAAGAGACCAUGAUCCAUGCACUUCUCCAUCAGAUUGUGGAAAAGUGCCAGUGACAUUGAAGCGAGAGGGCUUGUAUUAUAGAAGAACACACACACACACACACACGGGGCAAUUUUAUAUAUAUAUAUAUAUAUAUAUAUAUUAUAGCAGAGAGAUGAAGCAAUACUAUAUGUUUUGCGUCUAGAUUUGAUUUAAUUUGUUGUCCUUUAAUUUGUUUGCUUCCAUAAAUAUAAUGAUAAUUAGACCAUGGAUUCAAUCUUCCCGAAUAUUCUCACUCACCAAACUGUAGCAAUAGCAAUAUAAUGUUUAAAUCUGUCCAAUCAUAAAUAAUUAUUUUUACAUUUUGAUGGAGUGAAAAA
Neltuma alba is the source of this 671-nucleotide long non-coding RNA. RefSeq lists it as uncharacterized. The transcript is spliced from 2 exons. The record is from RefSeq and is a predicted model, not a curated record. NCBI's taxonomy places the organism in Eukaryota, Viridiplantae, Streptophyta, Magnoliopsida, Fabales, Fabaceae.